AUUGAACGCUGGCGGCAUGCUUUACACAUGCAAGUCGAACGGUAACAGGCCGCCAGGUGCUGACGAGUGGCGAACGGGUGAGUAAUGCAUCGGAACGUGCCCAGUCGUGGGGGAUAACUACUCGAAAGAGUAGAUAAUACCGCAUACGAUCUAUGGAUGAAAGCGGGGGACCGUAAGGCCUCGCGCGAUUGGAGCGGCCGAUGUCAGAUUAGGUAGUUGGUGGGGUAAAGGCUCACCAAGCCAACGAUCUGUAGCUGGUCUGAGAGGACGGCCAGCCACACUGGGACUGAGACACGGCCCAGACUCCUACGGGAGGCAGCAGUGGGGAAUUUUGGACAAUGGGCGCAAGCCUGAUCCAGCAAUGCCGCGUGCAGGAAGAAGGCCUUCGGGUUGUAAACUGCUUUUGUACGGAACGAAACGGCUCUGGUUAAUACCCGGGGAUAAUGACGGUACCGUAAGAAUAAGCACCGGCUAACUACGUG
This 482-nucleotide ribosomal RNA is filed under the name uncultured bacterium. RNAcentral's name for it is "partial 16S ribosomal RNA". It matches the Rfam family "Bacterial small subunit ribosomal RNA", at positions 30 to 507 of the family's 1533-position model. The record is from RNAcentral.